Molecule: ribosomal RNA, 492 nt
Filed under: uncultured bacterium
Lineage: Bacteria
Description: partial 16S ribosomal RNA
Rfam family: Bacterial small subunit ribosomal RNA
Source: RNAcentral
AGUGAACGCUGGCGGUAGGCCUAACACAUGCAAGUCGAACGGCAGCACAGUAAGAGCUUGCUCUUACGGGUGGCGAGUGGCGGACGGGUGAGGAAUACAUCGGAAUCUACUUUUUCGUGGGGGAUAACGUAGGGAAACUUACGCUAAUACCGCAUACGACCUACGGGUGAAAGCAGGGGAUCUUCGGACCUUGCGCGAUUGAAUGAGCCGAUGUCGGAUUAGCUAGUUGGCGGGGUAAAGGCCCACCAAGGCGACGAUCCGUAGCUGGUCUGAGAGGAUGAUCAGCCACACUGGAACUGGAACACGGACCAGACUCCUACGGGAGGCAGCAGUGGGGAAUAUUGGACAAUGGGCGCAAGCCUGGUCCAGCCAUACCGCGUGGGUGAAGAAGGCCUUCGGGUUGUAAAGCCCUUUUGUUGGGAAAGAAAAGCAGCAGGUUAAUACCCCGCUGUUCUGACGGUACCCAAAGAAUAAGCACCGGCUAACUUCGUG